GUAUUUUUUAAUUGUAUUAUUCCAUUCAAUUUGUGGCAGUUUGAUUGAAAAAAAAUCCUCCAUCAUUUGCCAUAUUUUCUUAGAAAAAGGAAUAAAAUUAAAAUUUUAUUUUAUGUGUCUGUAGUAAACUUAUUUUCAGGACGUCCAUGGAGAUGCACUAAGAAAGUAAUAAAUGGAAUACAAGUUCCUCUUUUUAUUAUAAGAUUCCUGCCAUCUUUAGGCAGUUAAGGCAUAGGAAAAUAGUAUGGAAAAUGUAUCAUUUAUGUAGAUUGGAACUUGUCUAUGAUGACAAGUCUACUAAUAGUCUAGAACUUUGCUGCCUGUUGCCAGCCAGAUGAGACAGGACACACUGUAUUCCUUUCACCUUUUAUUCUAGAUAACAGAUUUGGUUGAUCAUCAUCAAUUUUUGAAACACAGUUUAUUGUUCCAUCCAUAUCUUUGUGCAUGCAUAUUGUAAAAUGUUUGGAUGGAUUUUUCUAUUGAAUGAAUCUAAAUUGGCAUGAUGCCAGAUGUUUUGUUGUUAUUGAGAUCAGUAUUAUCUGAUGUUUCACUGAAUUUACUGAUUAAAUCUAU
RNAcentral lists this long non-coding RNA (573 nucleotides) under Mytilus galloprovincialis (Mediterranean mussel). The record is from RNAcentral. Lineage: Eukaryota; Metazoa; Mollusca; Bivalvia; Mytilida; Mytilidae.